This 72-nucleotide transfer RNA is filed under the name Tryblionella apiculata. RNAcentral describes it as "tRNA-Glu". It matches the Rfam family "tRNA". From Rfam's summary of the family: Transfer RNA (tRNA) molecules are approximately 80 nucleotides in length. The record is from RNAcentral. Lineage: Eukaryota; Bacillariophyta; Bacillariophyceae; Bacillariales; Bacillariaceae.
GUUCUUAUCGUCUAAUGGUUAGGACACUACUCUUUCACAGUAGUAAUACGGGUUCAAAUCCCGUUAAGAAUA